UGCCAAACCCUCUGGCCCUAACCUAUCAUGUAUGAAAGGUGAAAUAGGAGCAUACUCUGAUUUCACAGUUUUAACCAUCAUCCUGUGACCCCAAAAGUCCAUCACAGGUCCUCGUGUAGGACGCCCAACAUCUGGACGCACACAGCAUGACUACUAGUGCUGAGCAGCCACCCACAGAGGGCAUAUGCACAAAGACAUUAAAUGUAAAAGAAAUGGCCUGUGCUGAGCAACAGAGAAAGCUGUAUCAGAGAUAAAACCAAACAGGUGAAUUACCUCACAGGAUUGCUGGUCAAAGACACUCGGAGAGACUCCAGGCAUGUGACAAGUCUCUCAUCUGCAGACCCCAUUUUCAGCUCAUGAAUGAAUUCCUGAGGUUCACCAUCCAACGGCAGGAAAUGAAUUGUGUAAGUUCAAAAGAAGAUCAGGUGAAGUGGUACGAAAUUCGGUGUUUUUCAUGUUUUUUGUUUUUAUUAAUUUACUAUAAUGUUAUUCAAAACAACAUUCCCAAUAAAGCAAAACAAAUUAGCACUGUAAAG
This 536-nucleotide long non-coding RNA is filed under the name Homo sapiens (human). RNAcentral describes it as "HSALNT0202709". Lineage: Eukaryota; Metazoa; Chordata; Mammalia; Primates; Hominidae. The record is from RNAcentral.